RNAcentral lists this ribosomal RNA (483 nucleotides) under uncultured bacterium. RNAcentral's name for it is "bacterial SSU rRNA". It matches the Rfam family "Bacterial small subunit ribosomal RNA", at positions 30 to 507 of the family's 1533-position model. The record is from RNAcentral.
UUGAACGCUGGCGGCAUGCCUUACACAUGCAAGUCGAACGGUAACAGGGAGCUUGCUCCGCUGACGAGUGGCGAACGGGUGAGUAAAGUAUCGGAACGUACCUUUCAGUGGGGGAUAACGUAGCGAAAGUUACGCUAAUACCGCAUAUUCUGUGAGCAGGAAAGCAGGGGAUCGCAAGACCUUGCGCUGAUUGAGCGGCCGAUAUCAGAUUAGCUAGUUGGUGAGGUAAAGGCUCACCAAGGCGACGAUCUGUAGCGGGUCUGAGAGGAUGAUCCGCCACACUGGAACUGAGACACGGUCCAGACUCCUACGGGAGGCAGCAGUGGGGAAUUUUGGACAAUGGGGGCAACCCUGAUCCAGCCAUGCCGCGUGAGUGAAGAAGGCCUUCGGGUUGUAAAGCUCUUUCGGCCGGGAAGAAAUCGCAUGGGUUAAUACCCUGUGCGGAUGACGGUACCGGCAUAAGAAGCACCGGCUAACUACGUG